Molecule: long non-coding RNA, 993 nt
Filed under: Marmota monax (woodchuck)
Lineage: Eukaryota; Metazoa; Chordata; Mammalia; Rodentia; Sciuridae
Source: RNAcentral
UGAUUGUCAGAUAUGGUGAUUUUUUUAAACCUAUUUGGUGCUUGUUUGUUUUUGUAUUUCUGUAACAAUUCUUGAGUUUUGUUCUGAGAUGCAGUUACAUUACCAGAAAAUGCAGUUACAUUACCAGUUUUGUUCUGAGAUGCAGUUACUUUACCUUUCAGGUCUUUCUUUUAAGAUUUGCUAGAGCAAAAGAUUUUUUAAGAAUGGAUCUGGAUCUAGAGCUACAUAUUCCCUACUACUCAGACAUGAUUCCUUUUUCUACUCUUUUCCAUGUCCUGUGAAUCAUGAUGUUCUCUGAACCUGGUUGGUGGGACAGGACACUGUUGCCUACUCAUCUGGAGCAUUGGAUACUUUACCUCUAAUGCUUUUGGACAGUGUUUUCCUUCACUUCAGAGAGUUUCCCCUUGCCUGUGUGCUGAGCACUAUCCAGCUGGAUGCUGUUGCACUCAGCAGAGGAGGGUUUCUCCAGUUCCCAGAGUUUUCUUUCUUCCUUCCUUCCUUCCUCCCUCCCUCCCUCCUUCUUCUUCUUCUUCUUUCUCUCCCUCUCUCUCUCUCUCUCUCUCUCUCUCUUUCUUUCUUUCUUUCUUUCUUCUUUAGUGUAGCCCUCUCCUUUCUAGUCUAGACUUGAUCUCCCCACUCUUACUCCAUCUUCUUACAGCAGAGAGUCUAACAUGCUCUACACUUUGCAGUUUGUCACCACAGCCUGGAAAUUCUCUGAAGGUUAAAGUCUGGGGAAGUGUUGGGGUUCACAUCACUUUUUCCUUCUCUCUCAAAGAUCACUCUUGGUCAGUGAUUGAUGUCCACUGUCUUGAAAACUGUUCUUUCAAAAGACAACACUGUUCCCUAUUGUUCUUAUCUGAAUGCCAAAGUCCACAGACUGUACUAAUUAGAAAAUUUAACUAUAGCAAAUAAAUUCUAACACCUCUUUAAAGAACAGUUCACUUCUUUCUUACACUGCUAAGUAUACUAUGCUUCUUGAUAUGGUGAUUUGGG